AAAUUGAAGAGUUUGAUCAUGGCUCAGAUUGAACGCUGGCGGCAGGCCUAACACAUGCAAGUCGAGCGGUAGCACAGAGAGCUUGCUCUCGGGUGACGAGCGGCGGACGGGUGAGUAAUGUCUGGGAAACUGCCUGAUGGAGGGGGAUAACUACUGGAAACGGUAGCUAAUACCGCAUAACGUCGCAAGACCAAAGUGGGGGACCUUCGGGCCUCAUGCCAUCAGAUGUGCCCAGAUGGGAUUAGCUUGUAGGUGAGGUAACGGCUCACCUAGGCGACGAUCCCUAGCUGGUCUGAGAGGAUGACCAGCCACACUGGAACUGAGACACGGUCCAGACUCCUACGGGAGGCAGCAGUGGGGAAUAUUGCACAAUGGGCGCAAGCCUGAUGCAGCCAUGCCGCGUGUGUGAAGAAGGCCUUCGGGUUGUAAAGCACUUUCAGCGGGGAGGAAGGCGGUGAGGUUAAUAACCUCAUCGAUUGACGUUACCCGCAGAAGAAGCACCGGCUAACUCCGUGCCAGCAGCCGCGGUAAUACGGAGGGUGCAAGCGUUAAUCGGAAUUACUGGGCGUAAAGCGCACGCAGGCGGUCUGUCAAGUCGGAUGUGAAAUCCCCGGGCUCAACCUGGGAACUGCAUUCGAAACUGGCAGGCUAGAGUCUUGUAGAGGGGGGUAGAAUUCCAGGUGUAGCGGUGAAAUGCGUAGAGAUCUGGAGGAAUACCGGUGGCGAAGGCGGCCCCCUGGACAAAGACUGACGCUCAGGUGCGAAAGCGUGGGGAGCAAACAGGAUUAGAUACCCUGGUAGUCCACGCUGUAAACGAUGUCGAUUUGGAGGUUGUGCCCUUGAGGCGUGGCUUCCGGAGCUAACGCGUUAAAUCGACCGCCUGGGGAGUACGGCCGCAAGGUUAAAACUCAAAUGAAUUGACGGGGGCCCGCACAAGCGGUGGAGCAUGUGGUUUAAUUCGAUGCAACGCGAAGAACCUUACCUGGUCUUGACAUCCACAGAACUUUCCAGAGAUGGAUUGGUGCCUUCGGGAACUGUGAGACAGGUGCUGCAUGGCUGUCGUCAGCUCGUGUUGUGAAAUGUUGGGUUAAGUCCCGCAACGAGCGCAACCCUUAUCCUUUGUUGCCAGCGGUCCGGCCGGGAACUCAAAGGAGACUGCCAGUGAUAAACUGGAGGAAGGUGGGGAUGACGUCAAGUCAUCAUGGCCCUUACGACCAGGGCUACACACGUGCUACAAUGGCAUAUACAAAGAGAAGCGACCUCGCGAGAGCAAGCGGACCUCAUAAAGUAUGUCGUAGUCCGGAUUGGAGUCUGCAACUCGACUCCAUGAAGUCGGAAUCGCUAGUAAUCGUAGAUCAGAAUGCUACGGUGAAUACGUUCCCGGGCCUUGUACACACCGCCCGUCACACCAUGGGAGUGGGUUGCAAAAGAAGUAGGUAGCUUAACCUUCGGGAGGGCGCUUACCACUUUGUGAUUCAUGACUGGGGUGAAGUCGUAACAAGGUAACCGUAGGGGAACCUGCGGUUGGAUCACCUCCUUA
Molecule: ribosomal RNA, 1540 nt
Filed under: Klebsiella variicola
Lineage: Bacteria; Pseudomonadati; Pseudomonadota; Gammaproteobacteria; Enterobacterales; Enterobacteriaceae
Also listed under: 1 other name
Description: bacterial SSU rRNA
Rfam family: Bacterial small subunit ribosomal RNA
Source: RNAcentral